GAAUAAUGUGUAGAAUUGGGUGCACUAUUUUCAAUAGAUAGCUGCUUAAAAGGGAAAUCGGUUAGAAUCCGAUGCUGUCCCGCAACUGUAUGUAGGAGCAAACUUUUAGAUCCACUGUUAGAACUGUAAUGGGAAGGGAAAAGUGAGCGAUGAUGACAAGCCAGGAGACCUGCCUAGUUUAGUACACACCA
Molecule: non-coding RNA, 191 nt
Filed under: Viridibacillus arenosi
Lineage: Bacteria; Bacillati; Bacillota; Bacilli; Caryophanales; Caryophanaceae
Also listed under: 1 other name
Source: RNAcentral